RNAcentral lists this microRNA (22 nucleotides) under Brassica rapa (field mustard). RNAcentral describes it as "bra-miR9566-5p". The record is from miRBase by way of RNAcentral. Lineage: Eukaryota; Viridiplantae; Streptophyta; Magnoliopsida; Brassicales; Brassicaceae.
UUGUUGACAAAUACUUAGGCUC